This 468-nucleotide ribosomal RNA is filed under the name uncultured bacterium. RNAcentral describes it as "SSU rRNA". It matches the Rfam family "Bacterial small subunit ribosomal RNA", at positions 26 to 518 of the family's 1533-position model. The record is from RNAcentral.
AGGACGAACGCUGGCGGCGUGCCUAACACAUGCAAGUCGAACGGAGCCCGCAAGGGUUCAGUGGCGAACGGGUGCGUAACACGUGAGGAACUUGUCCAUCGGCGGGGGAUAGCCGGCCCAACGGCCGGGUAAUACCGCGUACGCCGUCCGGAGCGCAUGCUCUGGCCGGGAAAGCAGCAAUGCACCGAUGGAGAGCCUCGCGGCCUAUCAGCUAGUUGGUGGGGUAAUGGCCUACCAAGGCGACGACGGGUAGCUGGUCUGAGAGGAUGACCAGCCACAUUGGGACUGAGACACGGCCCAGACUCCUACGGGAGGCAGCAGUGGGGAAUAUUGCGCAAUGGGCGAAAGCCUGACGCAGCGACGCCGCGUGUGGGAUGACGGCCUUCGGGUUGUAACCACUGUCGCGAGGGACGAAGAUCUGACGGUACCUCGAAAGGAAGCACCGGCUAACUCUGUGCCAGCAGCCGC